CGGGCAGCCCCGAUUUNAACUGAAACAACUUUCAAACAACGGAUCUCUUGGCUCUCGCAUCGAUGAAGUAACGCAGCGAAAUGCGAUAAGUAAUGUGAAUUUGCAUGAAUUUCAGUGAAUCAUCGANAUCUUUGAACGCACCUUGCGCCCCUUGGUAUUCCGAGGUGGCAUGCCUGUUUGAUGUGUCUUGUAAAUCUAUCUAACCUAACCGGUCUUGUUGCCGGCGCGGUUUGGACUUGGGGGUUCUUUGCUGCCGCUCGCGGUGGCUCCCCUUAAAUGUAUCGGUCGGGCUUUCGUGCGGCUCUGUCCCUUGGCGUUGUAUUACCCUCGUCGCUGGAUGGCUCGCGAUUCUGCGCCCCUCCCGUGACCUGCCUCUGGAGCGGCGGUCUCUAACAUUUUGUGAUCUGACCUCAAAUCAGGUAGGACUACCCGCUGAACUUAAGCAUAUCAAUAAGCGGAGGGAAAGAAACUAACAAGGAUUCCCCUAGUAACUGCGAGUGAAGCGGGAAAAGCUCAAAUUUGAAAUCUGGCGGCUCCGCCG
This 541-nucleotide ribosomal RNA is filed under the name uncultured fungus. RNAcentral describes it as "eukaryotic LSU rRNA". The stretch from base 406 to 541 matches the Rfam family "Eukaryotic large subunit ribosomal RNA", at positions 1 to 136 of the family's 3401-position model. The record is from RNAcentral. Lineage: Eukaryota; Fungi.